Molecule: ribosomal RNA, 492 nt
Filed under: uncultured bacterium
Lineage: Bacteria
Description: partial 16S ribosomal RNA
Rfam family: Bacterial small subunit ribosomal RNA
Source: RNAcentral
AGUGAACGCUGGCGGUAGGCCUAACACAUGCAAGUCGAACGGCAGCACAGUAAGAGCUUGCUCUUACGGGUGGCGAGUGGCGGACGGGUGAGGAAUACAUCGGAAUCUACUUUUUCGUGGGGGAUAACGUAGGGAAACUUACGCUAAUACCGCAUACGACCUACGGGUGAAAGCAGGGGAUCUUCGGACCUUGCGCGAUUGAAUGAGCCGAUGUCGGAUUAGCUAGUUGGCGGGGUAAAGGCCCACCAAGGCGACGAUCCGUAGCUGGUCUGAGAGGAUGAUAGCCAACACUGGAACUGAGACACGCCCAAGCCUCCUAGGGGGGGAGGCGGGGGGAAAUGUGGGACAAGGGGCGCAGGCCUGACCCACCAACCCGGGGGGGGGAAAAAGGGCGUUGGGGUGGAAAACCCGUUUUUUGGAAAAAAAAAAGCAGAGGUUUAACCCCCGGUUUUUCUGACGUACCCAAAAAAAAAAGCCCGGGCUAACUCCGGG